This 582-nucleotide ribosomal RNA is filed under the name uncultured fungus. RNAcentral's name for it is "eukaryotic LSU rRNA". It matches the Rfam family "Eukaryotic large subunit ribosomal RNA", at positions 53 to 649 of the family's 3401-position model. The record is from RNAcentral. Lineage: Eukaryota; Fungi.
GAGGAAAAGAAAGCAACAGGGAUUGCCUCAGUAACGGCGAGUGAAGCGGCACCAGCUCAAAUUUGAAAUCUGGCUCUUUCAGGGUCCGAGUUGUAAUUUGUAGAAGAUGCUUNGGGUGUAGCUCCGGUCUAAGUUCCUUGGAACAGGACGUCAUAGAGGGUGAGAAUCCCGUAUGUGACUGGGUGCUUUCGCUCGUGUAAAGCUCUUUNGNCGAGUCGAGUUGUUUGGGAAUGCAGCUCAAAAUGGGUGGUAAAUUUCAUCUCAAGCUAAAUAUUGUCCAGAGACCGAUAGCGCGCAAGUAGAGUGAUCGAAAGAUGAAAAGCACUUUGGAAAGAGAGUUAAUCAGUACGUGAAAUUGUUGAAAGGGAAGCGCUUGCAACCAGACUUGCGCGCUGUUGAUCAUCCGAGCUUUUGCCCGGUGCACUCGACAGCGUUCAGGCCAGCAUCGGUUUUGGUGGGCGGAUAAAGGCCUUGGGAAUGUAGCUUCUUUCGGGGAGUGUUAUACCCCUCGUUGCAAUGCACCCCACCGGGACCGAGGACCGCUUUUCGGCUAGGAUGCUGGCGUAAUGGCCGUAAGCGACC